RNAcentral lists this ribosomal RNA (110 nucleotides) under Zingiber officinale. The record is from RNAcentral. Lineage: Eukaryota; Viridiplantae; Streptophyta; Magnoliopsida; Zingiberales; Zingiberaceae.
GCGAUCAUACCAGCACUAAUGCACCGGAUCCCAUCAAAACUCAGAAGUUAAGCGUGCUUGGGCAAGAGCAAUACUAGGAUGGAUUAGUAUAUGAGUAGGUUGCUUAGUUG